This 2434-nucleotide long non-coding RNA is filed under the name Homo sapiens (human). Its description in RNAcentral is "HSALNT0212638". The record is from RNAcentral. Lineage: Eukaryota; Metazoa; Chordata; Mammalia; Primates; Hominidae.
CUGACUCUGACUUUAAGUAUACGAAAUACAAAUUUUCAUGCCUACAUUUUAUUAUUAAUGCAUGGUCAGUUUGCUCUGGGUUUAGUCAUGUUACAAAGUAGAAUCUUAUUUAUUCCAUUUCCACCUACGCUGUUUAAAAAGAAUUAAUUUAAAAAAGUCCUAGGUCACUGCCAUGUAAAUUUAAUAGAAACUAUGAGCACACAACCAUCUACAAACCAAAAACGGACCCAGUCUCUGGUCUGAGGAGUAACGGCCCAAAUCACAGGAUGUGCUGUGGCAGUGGGUUACCUCUUUGGAAACAAUACCUUAUUUCUCCUGAAUAUUCAAAGAACAAAAAGGACAUAACCAAAGUCACCUGGGGAAAAUAGUUUUAAAUCCUAAAUUUGAUUCUGAAAGUUUUUCAGAGGCCAAAAAAUUUUCAACAUUAGAAACAAACAAAUAGUUACAGGUUUUCAAGCUAUGAUAAUUUACGGUUUUUAACACUCUGAAACUACUAAAAAACCAUAAAUUAUCAUUAACCUCUCUUCUAUAUUUCUGGAAAUACUGUAGGUGGGAAGAAUUAUCUAGGUAAUAAUUAAAGCUUUCCCCCUAUGUUGCUUUAAUAUAGCAAAUAUUGUAUUAAAAAUCAGUUUAGUAUGCUAGAUAUGGUUUCUAGUUUACAUUUUAAAGUCUAAUGCAGCCGGGCACAGUUGCUCAUGCCUGUAAUAUCACUCCUUGGGGAGGCUGAGGAAGGAGGAUCACUUGAGCCCAGGAGUUUGAGACCAGCCUGGGUAAUAUAGCAAGACCCUGUCUCUAAAAUUUUUUUUUUAUAAAGUCUAGUACAAAGUUAGAAAAGUUAUGUUAUGUCAUUAAUGACAUACUUGUAUAUCAUUAACAUGUCACUUGUAACUGUUUUACUCUGCUCAAUUUUCAUAUUGUUGAAAAAACCUCAACACCUUUUAAAUCUCCCUUGAAAUUUAUAAUUUAUCUCACACGUAGACAUUAAAAUUCAUAUCAUUCUACUCCUGGCAAAUUUAAGAACAUGCUUGUAAUUAAAAAUAAAACUCUAUCCUGACUUCUUCAAUCUAGUUGAAAAGGGAGUUGCUGCAUAUCUAAUAAUGCUGUGCUCAGCAAGCACUUGAUCCUCACAAGGAGUCUUAUGAACUAGAUUUGUCUGAAUUUUACAAAUUAGCAAACUAAAGUUUAGCAAUACAAAGCUGCCUUGUCAAAGGGAGCUAGCAAAUGGUAGACCCAGGAUUCAAACCCAGCUAUGUCUAAUUCUGCCACUCCAGCUAGCUCUUAACCACAGCCUCCCAAGACAAGUAAAACAUGAUCCUUUGCUUCAAGUUUACUUCCCACUUACUGGGAGUAAGUAUGACAUCCCAAAAGCGUCAGGAUUACAUCCUGAAUGUUUCAGUAAGGUUCUUUUAUAAAACCAUAAAGACAACCAUUAAUUUUUAAUCAAUGCAGAAUAUAGCUCUGUAAUAUAAAUAAGGGAAAUAGAAAAUUAUCAAUAAUUUUAGAAAGCUAUUCCUCAAAUAACAACACAAGUGACGUGCAUUUAUAUAACCAAUAUUUACUCAGCACUAAUUAUGUACCAGAGAUGCAGCAGUGAACAAACACAAAGCAACUUCUUCUUAAAUUCUAUCAAUUAAUAUACACAUUAUUGGUAAUUUCAUAUCCAGUGGAUGAUUCUGUCAACACUUAGGCCUCCCAAUUCCAUGAAGUCUUUUCCUCUAAUGAUCUCAUCUCCUACCCUCUCUUGGCCAGAUCCCUAGACCUUGUCAUUUCCAACUACUUCAAUUUCCUAAUUUCAAGCAUGUCAUUCUCUGAUCACCACUUCCUAACACUCUAAUGUGAGCAAUCCUUGAUCCAGUGGGACCUACAAUGAACUGAUCUACCUCUGUUUCCAGCACCUCCUCCUACACCCCCAAUUAAAGCUCAUGGUCAUUCAGUCGUUGCUGUUGUCCUCAUAUAUGCCCUCAACCUUUAGCAAAAUCUUUACUCUCUACCUACUCCUCACCUGUAACCAUCCAGGUGAGAGAGACUAGGAAAAAAAUCCCAUGAUCACAAUGACUGAUUUCACUUUAAAUCACUAUCAGAUAGGUACUUUGGAGGACACUUAAUGCAUCCCUGAAUUAAUUGCAGUUCCCUAAUUCUUUCACCUUCCUAGCUUAUUUCUUACUUUUCCACAAACCUGUAACACCUGUUUCAAAUGAUGUCCUUGCUCCUUAUCUUUCUGAGAUAACUGAAGCAUACAGAAGAUAAUUCCCCCCAGCUCCCAAAUUUGCCUGUCCUCCCUUUUUUAUGAUUGAACUGUCCAAGAGCCAAUUUGAGCUAUCAGUUUCUCCUUCUCUGGUACAUCAUCCCAUCAGCCUGCAAACUUACCAUUACUUUUCCCACUUAAAAAAAAGCAAUUUCUUUCUCCAGCUACAACCCCAUUUUUCUGUUCUUU